AAAUUGAAGAGUUUGAUCAUGGCUCAGAUUGAACGCUGGCGGCAGGCCUAACACAUGCAAGUCGAGCGGAAACGAGUUAUCUGAACCUUCGGGGAACGAUAACGGCGUCGAGCGGCGGACGGGUGAGUAAUGCCUAGGAAAUUGCCCUGAUGUGGGGGAUAACCAUUGGAAACGAUGGCUAAUACCGCAUAAUGCCUACGGGCCAAAGAGGGGGACCUUCGGGCCUCUCGCGUCAGGAUAUGCCUAGGUGGGAUUAGCUAGUUGGUGAGGUAAGGGCUCACCAAGGCGACGAUCCCUAGCUGGUCUGAGAGGAUGAUCAGCCACACUGGAACUGAGACACGGUCCAGACUCCUACGGGAGGCAGCAGUGGGGAAUAUUGCACAAUGGGCGCAAGCCUG
RNAcentral lists this ribosomal RNA (398 nucleotides) under Vibrio alginolyticus. RNAcentral describes it as "bacterial SSU rRNA". It matches the Rfam family "Bacterial small subunit ribosomal RNA", at positions 1 to 385 of the family's 1533-position model. The record is from RNAcentral. Lineage: Bacteria; Pseudomonadati; Pseudomonadota; Gammaproteobacteria; Vibrionales; Vibrionaceae.